UCCUAUCUUCAUUAGAAUAUCUUUCCACCUCCCUUUGUUUCUCCUCUUAUAUAAACCCCUUGAUGAUAAAACAGGUCCGUUAACUAUUGUUAUCCGAGCCGAGUUAUCUAAAAUACGAACCCUCGACUCGAGAUUCAUUACACCACGACGAUUUGUUGUUCUCUACCUCUGAAAGUCAGAGUCGAGAAAGUUAUAAAGUAAGAUGAGCAAGAAAUAAAAGAGUAAAAAAAAAGAAAGAUUGUGGAUGCGCAGUUGUAUGAGAAUAAUUUCAGUAGAGGAGGAAACUAUAUGGAGAGGAGCAAGCAAGAAGCUUCACCCGAGAAAGUAAAUUCAUCUUACUGUCAGCAGAAAGAAUAAGUCUGAUAAGAAGAAAGAAGGUGAUGAUGAUGAGAUCAACAGCAGAUUGAGUUUGGGAACACUUUCCUUCCAGCCUAACUUCCUGUUUCCGGUUUAGGUACGUUCACCUAGAACCUGAGAUUUACCUGGAUCCAAAGAAAUAUGAACCUUCAAGAUGGGAGGUAUGUAGAUAUACCAGAUUUGUGGUGCAUUCAACAAUUAAACUCUCUUUGUAAUUUGUAGUUGUUGUUGCAAAAGAGUAGCUAAACACUGUCAAGUUCAUUCUACAAGGAUACAUGCCAAAACCAGGUACAUUCCUUCCUUUUCAUUUAUGAAGCGAUCUUUGUGCCGGGAACGAUCUUGCAAAGCUCGAGAUUUCCAUUUUUCUUCAUCUUUGACCACUGAAGAUGGGGUUAGCUACUGUCGCUUUGAAGCUGUGGGUUAUGACUUCAACACUAUCCAGCUGAAUCAGCUGGUGAGAAGGCUUCUGUCUUGCUUUGAUCCCAACAAAUUCUCUGUAGAGUGUCGCUGUGAGCGCGUACAAGCCGGAAAUUAGUGUAUACUUGGAAGAUUAUGGGUUUAGAGAGAGGACAUUUGAGUCUCUAGGAGAAGAGGGUAGACCAGUGAUGUAUCAUACGUUUGAGAAGCUUGGCAAGUAGUGUGCGUCGCCUAGAUCCACCUUGAAGUAGGACUGGAGCAGGCUGAGCAGCAAUAACAAAGGGACACGAGGGAAUCUAGCAGAAUUUUAUCUAAACUAUUUUCGAUCUUUUUGUUUUUGCAUUUUUUAAAGUAGUGAAUAAUGAUUUCUGAAAUUAAGGUAUUCCGUUCACAAGCAUGUGUGUUGUACAAUUUCGCUUUAAUACAGUAUAUGGAAUACUAUUAUGAUUUACAGCUU
Molecule: long non-coding RNA, 1231 nt
Organism: Brassica oleracea var. oleracea
Lineage: Eukaryota; Viridiplantae; Streptophyta; Magnoliopsida; Brassicales; Brassicaceae
Exons: 3
Source: RefSeq, a predicted model, not a curated record